Angiostrongylus costaricensis is the source of this 82-nucleotide non-coding RNA. NCBI's taxonomy places the organism in Eukaryota, Metazoa, Nematoda, Chromadorea, Rhabditida, Metastrongylidae. The record is from Rfam.
GGCGAGAUGGCCAAGCGGUCCAAGGCGCAGGUUUUGGGCACCAUUCCCUUCCGUGGCGUUUGUUCGAAUCCCACUCUCGUCA